AAAGAACUCAAACUAUAAAACUCUUGGAAGACAACGAGGAAAGCUUCAUGAGAUUGGAUUCAGCAGUGACUUCUUAGAUAUGACACCAAAAGCACAGACGACAAAAGAUCAAAUAGAUGAAGAAACCAAGAAACUGUUCUGCAGGCUCAGAGACCAAGAACUCAGUGACUUGGCUGUAGCCUCGACACCCUCCACUGGGACAACACACCCACAGUGAAUCCUGAGCUUGAAAACUUCAGUCAGAGGCUGGGUGUUAAAGGUGAGGCAAUGAUUAUUUAAAUGCAGAUGACGUGGCGGGAUGAUGUUUCCAGGGAAACAGGUCUCCUUGGAGAAGAGGCUGAUUUCAGGUCUGACACACGUCCAGAGUACUGAAAGUACGAGAUAAGCCUAAGAUAUCUUGGGCCAAAAACGCCAAGAAGUGCUCAAAGCUAAACAAGGACAAGUUCAAUGAAGACAGAAGCUGGUCUGAAGGGUUCCUGGCCAAUCUGUGAACGAUUUUAAAUAUCAGAAAGAAUGACAUCGAUGGAUUAAAACACAUGGUUUCCAGGAAAGCAGCAACUGCUGUAGAAUAGAACCACAGCUAGGAGUAUAAUUAUUGUGUAUAGUGGUGUAAUUAUGAUGAUGCUGCUGAGGAAACGCAAGAGUUACUGCUUUGGAAGUCCCCCUAACCACAGGAGCCACCAAUGUUAAAAUGCAUUCCUUCUGGAAAAGUCAAAUG
This 718-nucleotide long non-coding RNA is filed under the name Homo sapiens (human). RNAcentral's name for it is "HSALNT0335015". The record is from RNAcentral. Lineage: Eukaryota; Metazoa; Chordata; Mammalia; Primates; Hominidae.